Molecule: long non-coding RNA, 1262 nt
Organism: Malus domestica (apple)
Lineage: Eukaryota; Viridiplantae; Streptophyta; Magnoliopsida; Rosales; Rosaceae
Source: RefSeq, a predicted model, not a curated record
UUCAAAAAUUUAAAUUUUAACAAAAAACCAGGUAUUAAGUUUAUUUAAUGGUUAGGACAAAGUCCAACAUCAAACUAACCCAAUAAGACUAGCCCAAGAAAUGAGUUUCCAGUUUUACCCCUAACGGCAACUCUGUCCCCUUUAAUCCUCUCUCCUUUUCUCGAUCUCUCCAGACUCCACCUAAUCUCUGCUUGUCGAUCUCCAGGUCUCAACCUCUCCGCCUAAUCUCGAUUUCUCUUUUGCACAGAAACAAUUCCUCCGCUUUUGUAAUCAAAUUGAUCUCUGUACCUCUCUUUCAAUCUCUCCACCUUAUCUCUGUUUUCAUUUUCAAUUCCAUUCGAAUUCACCAUUUUUCGAAUCACCAUAUUAGGAGUCUUUGAGCAUGAAGGAAUUUAAGGCUAUUGGGUUCUGGGCAUCCGCAACAUGAGCAUUCGCAGCAUUGGUGGUACUGCUAGGUACUGUUUUUGUGUGUUAGGUAGUGUAUAAUAACUUCAAGAAUGAUAAAAAUGGCUACUGGAAGUGGUUUGCUGGGAACCUGGCAUCAGGCGGUGCUGCUAGUGCUUCAUCUCUUCUUUUUGUAUAUUCUCUGGACUAUGCAAGAACACGUUUGGCAAGUGAUUUCAAGGCUGCCAAGAAGAGUGGUUGAAAGGCAGUUUAAUGGUUUAGUUAUGUUGAAAUUAUCGUGUAUCGUGGACUUUACUUUGGAAUGUACGAUUCUCUAAAACCUGUGGUUUUAACUGGUGGCCUGCAUGAUAGCUUCUUCGCUAGCUUCUUGUUUUCUUGUUGGGAUGGGGAAUUACGAUUGGUGCUAGAUUAGCUUCUUACCCCAUUGACACAGUGCGCCACGGAUGAUGAUGACCUAAGGAGCAGCAGUUAAAUAUGGUAGCUCUUUGGAUGCAUUUAAGCAAAUUAUAAAAAACGAGGGUGCUAAGUCGCUGUUUAAGGGUGCUAGAGCAAACAUAUUAGGUGCUGUUGCAAAUGCCAGUGUGCUUGCUGGCUAUGACAAGUUGCAAGUCAUACUUCUUGGCAAGAAGUAUGGGUCUGGCGGCAGUGGUUAAUGAUGCUAUGUUGAUAAAAUCAUUAGUUAUUGUGUAAGCACCAACUCUAGUUGAAGAAUUUGGAUAAAGGAAGUGCUUUUAGGUUUCCAAAUGUUUGUAUGGAUUUGUUAUUAGAAAGUCAUAGUUACAGGGAUGAAGAAUUUUGAGUUUUGUGUGCUUGUUAUCUGAUUGACCUCUGAAUGGAAGUGCUUUUACGUUUUUAAA